Molecule: long non-coding RNA, 298 nt
Organism: Gordionus sp. m RMFG-2023
Lineage: Eukaryota; Metazoa; Nematomorpha; Gordioida; Chordodea; Parachordodidae
Exons: 3
Source: RefSeq, a predicted model, not a curated record
CCAAAUGCAAAGAGAAUAAAAUUAAAGGCAUCCGCUUCAAAAUUAAACCCCAACAUAUGGGAGGAUGAGGUUGUUACAGAGGAGAGUAUUGUACCUAAUGACAUAACAAAAUAUUUAAAUCUUAAAAUCUCAAUUGGGGAAGAAGAGGAUAUUCUUCAAACGGAUAUCCUACUUUGGUGGAAACGACAAGAAAGAGAUUUGCCAAAGCUAUCAAGAUAUACAAGAAAAAUAUUGGCAAUUCCUGCAACUAGAGCUUCUUCCGAACGCGGAUUUAGCAUUCUGGAAGAUUUUUAGAACA